CGCGCCUACACAUGCAAGUCGAACGAGAAAGUGGAGCAAUCCAUGAGUACAGUGGCGUACGGGUGAGUAACACGUGGGUAAUCUACCCUUUGGUGGGGAAUAACUCUGGGAAACUAGAGCUAAUACCGCAUAAACCUGAGAAGGUAAAGCAGCAAUGCGCCGAAGGAGGAGCCCGCGGCCGAUUAGCUAGUUGGUAGGGUAAAAGCCUACCAAGGCAAAGAUCGGUAGCCGGCCUGAGAGGGCACACGGCCACACUGGCACUGAAACACGGGCCAGACUCCUACGGGAGGCAGCAGUGGGGAAUCUUGCACAAUGGGGGAAACCCUGAUGCAGCGACGCCGCGUGAGCGAUGAAGCCCUUCGGGGUGUAAAGCUCUUUCGGCAGGGAAGAUUAUGACGGUACCUGCAGAAGCAGCUGCGGCUAACUACGUGCCAGCAGCCGCGGUAAUACGUAGGCAGCAAGCGUUGUUCGGAGUUACUGGGCGUAAAGGGUGUGUANGCGGCUCCUUAAGUUUGGUGUGAAAUCUCCCGGCUCAACCGGGAGGGUGCGCCGAAUACUGAGGGGCUAAAGUGCGGGAGAGGAAAGUGGAAUUCCUG
RNAcentral lists this ribosomal RNA (596 nucleotides) under uncultured bacterium. RNAcentral describes it as "bacterial SSU rRNA". It matches the Rfam family "Bacterial small subunit ribosomal RNA", at positions 43 to 672 of the family's 1533-position model. The record is from RNAcentral.